AACCAUAGAAACCUGCGGAGUACCUGCGGAGGGAUCAUUAUAGUAUAUGGAAUCUCCAUUCUAUAAACCCACUCUGCGUAUCUUGUAACUGUUGCUUCCAUGGGACUUGGUCCCGCCACACCGGCUUCACGGCUGGUGAGCGCCCAUGGAAGGAGAAACAAAACUCCUCUUUGAAAUGUAGUCAGUCUGAACAAGUUUUUAUAAACGUUAAAACUUUUAACAACGGAUCUCAGAUCGGAA
This 240-nucleotide unclassified non-coding RNA is filed under the name soil metagenome. RNAcentral's name for it is "partial contains 5.8S ribosomal RNA, internal transcribed spacer 2, and large subunit ribosomal RNA". The record is from RNAcentral.